Molecule: long non-coding RNA, 2242 nt
Organism: Papaver somniferum (opium poppy)
Lineage: Eukaryota; Viridiplantae; Streptophyta; Magnoliopsida; Ranunculales; Papaveraceae
Exons: 8
Source: RefSeq, a predicted model, not a curated record
UCUAAUUUUUUUCUCCGCCAUUUUUUCUCCACCAUUUUUUCUCCGCUGAAGAACUGAUAUCUAGGUUUUCUCUCGCGUCUUCUCUGUUACCAUCUCGCCUCUUCUCUCCAUAUACUCCAUCUCUUUUCUAUUAUCAUCUCGUCCAUCUCUUCUCUGUUGAGGGAGAGAGUUAUACGAAAAAUGUGAUGUUUUUACAGAUUAGAUUAAGGUUUGAAUGAGAAUCGAUGAUGGAUACAAAGAUCGUGAGUCUGAUUUAGAGAAAUGGAAUGGAAUCAGGGAUCGUUGAUGGUCAUGGUGUUGAUCCGUCUUUUGAUUCAAACUCAACAGAAAGAUAAAGAUGAUGAGAUAAUAGUGGUGGUUAGAAGAAAAGAUGAAGAAUAACUGAGCUAGUGGGAGUUUAGGUUUAAUUUGGUGAAGGGGUUGAAUUACAGGGGACUAUUGGUGGAGUCAAUAAGGAGCUGAAGACGAUAUGGUGGAGAUGAAGAUUCCAAAACUCAUGCUUAUAAAUGCUGAAUCCAGAAGGAUUAUUGAUGGGAUGGAAAGCGGUGUUUAUGAUAAUAUGAUGCAUUACAGAAGAAAUACCUAAGAACACUUUUGUUCUGCAUAUCUGAAGCUAUUGAAGGACCUAAUAGAAGAAUAUGCUUUUUCAUUUAGUUAUUCGAAUUCCAACAACGAAGAUGUUAUGAUGAACAUAAGUCAUACCGGGAACAAGAAACAAGGAGCAACGUUCAGAUCUUAUGGCAAUGCAGACAUUACACCAAAUAAAAUGAGAUAUAAUAGAGUUAUGCCUCCAUUCUUCAGAGGUUGCUCAGAAGAAGAAGCUAGCCAUCCAUGGUUGAAAACCCCUCUCAAAAUGGCAAUCGGAAAUGUUAACAGCAAACAUAUCGUACUGGAUCUCAAGGUCAAAAGUAUCCUGGUACGUACCAUAUCAAGAUGAAAACAAUGACAUCAAAGAUGAUGAAGCGAUCAGCUUGGGUGUUGAUUCAGUGCCAACAACUGAGCCUCCACAUCCAGAUAGCGAGUGUAUCAAUUUCAAUUUGGUGGAUGAGAUGGUGGAGUCUCAGAUGAAUGACGAGUUUUGGGUUCUCAACAAUACGAUUCAACUGAGUUUGUGGCUCUGAGAUCUGAAUUUGAGUAAUGGAUGAAACUACAGCUGUGGGUGUUGAUGAUUGAUAGUUCAGUGAACUAGGGUGGUGUUGAUAUCAGUUUGCAGUUGCAGAUGGAGUAGCAAGGUGGAAUGGCAGGUGCAGCUGGAGCUGAAACGAGUCAGAGAACUGAAUUUCUACAGAAGAAGGGCUCAGAUGGCAUCUCAUAGGAGGAUUGGUCUGUGGUUAUGUUGCAGAAUGUGCUGAGAAUGGUGGUAUUGAACUCAUGGAGAUGGAACUGAAGCUGGUGGUGCUGUGUGUUGGCUCAGGAAUGAAUCUAGAUGUAUGCCUAGGAUUUUACAGGUUAUGAAAUGAACUAGUUCUGAUGCUUGUUGUGUGUUGAGAACGGAGUAGCUGUGGUGAUUUUCAUGGAAGACCAAGUGUUUGUGCUUUGGAUGUACACAGGUGGUAUAUAUGACCGAGAUGGAGAGUGGGAGACGAAAUGAUGAAUGGCUUAUGAUUGUGUUGUCGUGGUAAAUAACAAGAUGAGGUGCAGUUGGGUUACAAGGAUUGAGUAAGGAUUGCAGUCAAGAGCUAAAUGGGUUUAUGUGGUCAAUUAGCUAGCAUAACAAGUAUGGAGUGCAGGACGGGUGUUGAAUUCUGCAAGCAAGAGAUGUUGUUGUUGAACUGAAUGUUAGGGUUGGCAGACUAAUGGAAGUUUGUGUGACUGCAGAAUGAACUUGAGUGGAAGCUUGUAUGUUGUUAAAGCUGCAGCUGAGCUGAAGCUAGAAUAGAAUUGCAGCAGUUGGUGUUUAACUGAUGCUGGUGGUGACUUGGUAAGAAGGCAUGAUGGAGUUGCAGGUGCAGUUGUGCAAAAGUUGGUUUGAGCAGAAGAAGGUAAUGGUGCUGUUACAGCUGUGAGCUGAUGUGGAAUGUGUCUUUGCAGUUGAAAAGUAACCCUUAUUAGAUAAAACUCUGCAGAUAACAUGUGUGCGUGCAUCCUUGGAUUCGUAUUGAUAAACUUCUGUCUGUUCUUCUUUUUCAUUAGAUUUCAAUGACAUGAUGCAAGUGUGAAUGAUGCAAGUUUUGAAUAGUAUAAGUUUUUGGUUCAGUGUGAAUGAUGCAAGUUUUGAAAAGCUUUUUAAUUUUUGUGUGAA